This 497-nucleotide ribosomal RNA is filed under the name uncultured bacterium. RNAcentral's name for it is "partial 16S ribosomal RNA". It matches the Rfam family "Bacterial small subunit ribosomal RNA", at positions 28 to 507 of the family's 1533-position model. The record is from RNAcentral.
GAUGAACGCUGGCGGCGUGCCUAAUACAUGCAAGUCGAGCGAACAGACGAGGAGCUUGCUCCUCUGACGUUAGCGGCGGACGGGUGAGUAACACGUGGAUAACCUACCUAUAAGACUGGGAUAACUUCGGGAAACCGGAGCUAAUACCGGAUAACAUGUUGAACCACAUGGUUCAACAGUGAAAGACGGUCUUGCUGUCACUUAUAGAUGGAUCCGCGCCGCAUUAGCUAGUUGGUAAGGUAACGGCUUACCAAGGCAACGAUGCGUAGCCGACCUGAGAGGGUGAUCGGCCACACUGGAACUGAGACACGGUCCAGACUCCUACGGGAGGCAGCAGUAGGGAAUCUUCCGCAAUGGGCGAAAGCCUGACGGAGCAACGCCGCGUGAGUGAAGAAGGUCUUCGGAUCGUAAAACUCUGUUAUUAGGUAAGAACAAAUGUGUAAGUAACUAUGCACGUCUUGACGGUACCUAAUCAGAAAGCCACGGCUAACUACGUG